AUCAUCUUUCGUGUGAUAUCCUGUGUGUUAGUAUUAUCAUAAUCAUAAAUCGUGGUCACCGUGCAGAGAACUGUAAUCGUAUUACAGUCGCACGGACCCCGUCGCCGGUAUAAACACUACACAAACCAUAUAGGACUUUUUUUUUUUUUAAUCUUACAACAAUAACGAUACGGACUAUAGGUUGAGAACGAGAAAAUAUUCGCUUAAAAACCUAUCACGCCUUAAAAAUUAAUC
Non-coding RNA from Cinara cedri, 234 nucleotides. Lineage: Eukaryota; Metazoa; Arthropoda; Insecta; Hemiptera; Aphididae. The record is from the annotation of a GenBank genome assembly.